GAUGAACGCUGGCGGCGUGCCUAACACAUGCAAGUCGAGCGAGGGUUUGCUCAGUAUUGAGUAUUCUAAAACUAGAAUGUUCAAUUCUGAGCAAAACCAAGCGGCGGACGGGUGAGUAACGCGUGGGUAACCUGCCCUAUACACAUGGAUAACAUACUGAAAAGUUUACUAAUACAUGAUAAUAUAUAUUUGCGGCAUCGCAGAUAUAUCAAAGUGUUAGCGGUAUAGGAUGGACCCGCGUCUGAUUAGCUAGUUGGUGAGAUAACUGCCCACCAAGGCGACGAUCAGUAGCCGACCUGAGAGGGUGAUCGGCCACAUUGGAACUGAGACACGGUCCAAACUCCUACGGGAGGCAGCAGUGGGGAAUAUUGCACAAUGGGGGAAACCCUGAUGCAGCAACGCCGCGUGAAGGAAGAAGGCCUUCGGGUUGUAAACUUCUGUCCUAGGGGAAGAAACAAAUGACAUUACCCUUGGAGGAAGCCCCGGCUAACUACGUGCCAGCAGCCGCGGUAAUACGUAGGGGGCGAGCGUUAUCCGGAAUUAUUGGGCGUAAAGAGUGCGUAGGUGGCAUCUUAAGCGCAGGGUUUAAGGCAAUGGCUCAACCAUUGUUCGCCUUGCGAACUGGGGUGCUUGAGUGCAGGAGGGGAAAGUGGAAUUCCUAGUGUAGCGGUGAAAUGCGUAGAUAUUAGGAGGAAUACCAGUGGCGAAGGCGACUUUCUGGACUGCAACUGACACUGAGGCACGAAAGCGUGGGGAGCAAACAGG
RNAcentral lists this ribosomal RNA (765 nucleotides) under uncultured Peptostreptococcus sp. RNAcentral's name for it is "bacterial SSU rRNA". It matches the Rfam family "Bacterial small subunit ribosomal RNA", at positions 28 to 776 of the family's 1533-position model. Lineage: Bacteria; Bacillati; Bacillota; Clostridia; Peptostreptococcales; Peptostreptococcaceae. The record is from RNAcentral.